AUUGAACGCUGGCGGCAUGCCUUACACAUGCAAGUCGAACGGCAGCACGGGAGCAAUCCUGGUGGCGAGUGGCGAACGGGUGAGUAAUAUAUCGGAACGUGCCCGGUCGUGGGGAUAACGUAGCGAAAGCUACGCUAAUACCGCAUACGAUCUACGGAUGAAAGCGGGGGAUCGCAAGACCUCGCGCGAUUGGAGCGGCCGAUAUCAGAUUAGGUAGUUGGUGAGGUAAAGGCUCACCAAGCCGACGAUCUGUAGCUGGUCUGAGAGGACGACCAGCCACACUGGGACUGAGACACGGCCCAGACUCCUACGGGAGGCAGCAGUGGGGAAUUUUGGACAAUGGGCGCAAGCCUGAUCCAGCAAUGCCGCGUGCGAGGAGUAGGAACGGU
Molecule: ribosomal RNA, 389 nt
Filed under: uncultured bacterium
Lineage: Bacteria
Description: bacterial SSU rRNA
Rfam family: Bacterial small subunit ribosomal RNA
Source: RNAcentral